This 253-nucleotide ribosomal RNA is filed under the name uncultured bacterium. RNAcentral's name for it is "partial 16S ribosomal RNA". It matches the Rfam family "Bacterial small subunit ribosomal RNA", at positions 524 to 776 of the family's 1533-position model. The record is from RNAcentral.
UACGGAGGGGGCAAGCGUUUUUCGGAAUUACUGGGCGUAAAGCGCGCGUAGGCGGGCUGUUAAGUCGGGGGUGAAAUCCCGGGGCUCAACCCCGGAACUGCCUUCGAUACUGGCAGCCUAGAGGACGGAAGAGGUCAGUGGAAUGGCGAGUGUAGAGGUGAAAUUCGUAGAUAUUCGCCGGAACACCAGUGGCGAAGGCGACUGACUGGUCCGUUUCUGACGCUGAGGUGCGAAAGCGUGGGGAGCAAACAGG